Molecule: non-coding RNA, 2170 nt
Organism: Equus caballus (horse)
Lineage: Eukaryota; Metazoa; Chordata; Mammalia; Perissodactyla; Equidae
Source: RefSeq, a predicted model, not a curated record
CAGUGGGAAAGCCAGCCAGCAGGGCAGGGGCCCACCCACGGCUGCCCACCCGGCAGCGCCAGGGGGCCGCCAGCGCUCCGGGAGCCCGGGGCUGGGGUGCGCGGACACAGCCCCCAGAAGCCGCCUCCAGGGGCAAGGCCGCGACGCCAGGUGCGCGCCGCUGCUCAUUAGGCCGCCGUGCGCGCCCGGCUCUUGGUGUCUUUCUGAGAAUCCCCCGAAGAAGAAAGCAAUCAAAGCCCGGGGAUUGGAAAACAAGGAUGAGGAGAUAGAAAACAAGAUUUCUAUCUGAAUAAUUUCCUCUAAUUGCUGAUCCUGGCACACAGCUUCGCUUGACCAACCAGGCCUGCAGGGGCAGCAGCGGCAGCCACUGGAAGCCAAAUUCUGUGCAGAGCACGUGCCUCACCCAAAGGUUCCUCAUCUUGCCUGGAUCUGCAGUGCCACCUCGGGAAGCGGAGACGCUACAGUCGCCAUGCCACGAUGCAGAAGGAAGUGGAGACCGAGGCCUCCUCACAUCCUGUGUAUUAUGAGCUGGGCCCGCCAGGGUGGCUGGAGCACGGGAAGAGGAGGCAGCAAGCUGAGAAGGUGGAUGCUGGUUCGCUCCUCUUGCAUCCUGAGGAACUGGAGGGACGUCGUCAAGGUCCCUGAACAGCUGGAGGGUGCUGUUCGAGAAUGAACCUCUAUUUAAAAUGGAGCGGAGACUGCGCUGUUGGCCCAGCGAGAGCCCAGCUUGGGUCCCAAGCACCCCUUCCCCUCCUGGGGUGGCAGCUUCUGCCACUGAUGGGCAGCAAAGCCCACACUUCCUGCUCUCUGGGGCUUCCGGCCUUAGGCCCCUGGAGUCCUCUUCCUUAUUAGGGGUCUGUGUCCAGCUGGGUGGGGAUGAGACCUGGGCCUGCGCUCAUCCUUCGGGAAGGAGGAGAAGGAGCCCUGCUUUGGGGGCGGUCCCAGGGAGCCUGAGCGCGGAGGGGGAGACGGUGAGGAUGCUUGACGACCACUUUGAAUGCUGGCUGAUCGCAAAGCCGCCUGCUGCAGGGCAGAGCAGGCGAGAGACCAUGUGAGCCGGGGCAGGAAGAUGCAGAAGCUAUGAGGCCAGGGACAGAACCCGGGUGGCAGUGAGAGGAGGGAGGGACAUGCGACAGCUGUGGGAAUCAGCAGCCUCCUCCUGCCGUUGUCCCCUGGGGCCUGGCCCCCAGCCCUGGGGUCCCCUGAGAUCCCUGGAGCCUUGCAGUUAGCCCCCAUUACUCGAGGCACUUGGAGUGGGUUUCUCUUGCUUGCAAUCGGAGCAGCCUGUGUCCUAGGCAGUGUGAGGCCUGGCAGUGGUGCUGUGGCCCUCCACGCGGCAUGUCUGUCGGCAGCGCUGUUGACCCUGGGUCUCCAGCCUUAACCCCCUCCCCCUCCCCCCUUCUUCCUGAGGAUCCAGGUGCCAAGGCCUGCUGGAGCUCCGGCCCAAGUGUCUUUCCUCUCUCGCCCUCCAUCCCCUCCUCAGCUGACGACAGAACAGUCCGAGGGCUGGGGGGUGAAGAGCCAGCACACUGCUGACAUCCGACAGGAGUGUCCUGCAGUGUGGACCCAACACCUGAGAAUCCCAGCAGCCAAGAACACGGCCUCCCCGAGUCCCACGGACCUGAUCUGAGACCCAGAUUCACCAUCAGCUGGCUGUGUGACCUCGGGUGAGCCACUCAGCCUCUCUGGGGCUUAGCUGACUCUCCACAAAGUGGGGAAGGCGUCUGUGAAGUUGAAGGGAGGUGAUGCAUGCCACGUGCUUCACACGCUGCCUGGCCUCAUCCUUAAAGACCAGCUCACAUCCACUUCCCCCGGCAGACCCACACCCCUGGCCCUUGGGGACCGGGGCCUCCUUUGGGGUCCACAAUACCUGCACCUGGGCCCUGUCCACACACACGGCAGACUUGGCCUGUCUCCCUGCGGCCGUGGAGCUCCCGUCGGAAGCUGGCUCCCCCUGUGCCCCUCCACUCCCAGCAGCUCCGAGUGGGCCCGGGAGCACCUGGACGUCGAUCCUGCGCCCAUCCUGGGGGCUCACUCCAGACUCUGCCAGCCCCCACGCAGGCCUGCCCCGGACAGCGCAGGGUCCAGGGCCAGGGUACGUGGAGGCGUCCCAUAUAUCUGAAUAUUUCAGUUAGAUGUUGAGUUAACCGACAGUUAAAUAAAAUGUUCA